Molecule: small nuclear RNA, 65 nt
Organism: Zeugodacus cucurbitae (melon fly)
Lineage: Eukaryota; Metazoa; Arthropoda; Insecta; Diptera; Tephritidae
Product: U7 small nuclear RNA
Exons: 1
Source: RefSeq, a predicted model, not a curated record
AAAUUUUUGAUCUCUUUGGAAUUUAUCUUGAUGGGACCCUUGCAUUAGUUGCUUGAGUGUCCCGA